UUGCAGUUAAUUAAGCCGACCGACUCCUUGUUUUGUGGAAGUCUUGGUGUGCAAUGGCUGCAUACAGUAAACCCCUCUCUGGUUGUGUAUGUGCUCUGUUAGUCUGUACAGAGCGCACUAAGGGACCUCUGAGACAUAG
Small nucleolar RNA from Chiloscyllium plagiosum (whitespotted bambooshark), 139 nucleotides. RefSeq annotates it as small nucleolar RNA SNORA70. NCBI's taxonomy places the organism in Eukaryota, Metazoa, Chordata, Chondrichthyes, Orectolobiformes, Hemiscylliidae. The record is from RefSeq and is a predicted model, not a curated record.